Pelobates cultripes (western spadefoot toad) is the source of this 328-nucleotide non-coding RNA. The record is from the annotation of a GenBank genome assembly. Lineage: Eukaryota; Metazoa; Chordata; Amphibia; Anura; Pelobatidae.
UGUCUGUGUGUGUGUGUGUAUGUAUGUAUGUAUGUAUGUCUGUGUGUGUGUGUGUGUGUGUCAGUAUGUCUGCCAGGAUAUAUUUGUAUGUCAGUGUAUGUGUGUGUCAGUAUAUAUCUGUGAAUGUUUAAUGUCUGUCUGUAUCAGCCAUUACGUCUGUCUGUGUAUAUGUCAGUAUGCCUGUGUGUGUGUGUGUGUGUGUGUAUAUGUCAGUAUGCCUGUGUGUGUGUCAAUGUGUCUGUCAGUGUAUGUGUCUGUGUGUUUUAGUAUAUCUGUCAGUGUAUGUGUUUGUGUGUGUGUCAGUAUAUCUGUUAAUGUAUGUGUCUGU